UGAGGACAAGAGCUGAUUCGG
Molecule: microRNA, 21 nt
Filed under: Oryza sativa (Asian cultivated rice)
Lineage: Eukaryota; Viridiplantae; Streptophyta; Magnoliopsida; Poales; Poaceae
Also listed under: 1 other name
Source: RNAcentral